This 465-nucleotide ribosomal RNA is filed under the name Vreelandella stevensii. Its description in RNAcentral is "partial 16S ribosomal RNA". It matches the Rfam family "Bacterial small subunit ribosomal RNA", at positions 338 to 795 of the family's 1533-position model. The record is from RNAcentral. Lineage: Bacteria; Pseudomonadati; Pseudomonadota; Gammaproteobacteria; Oceanospirillales; Halomonadaceae.
CCUACGGGGGGCUGCAGUGGGGAAUAUUGGACGAUGGGGGGAACCCUGAUCCAGCCAUGCCGCGUGUGUGAAGAAGGCCCUCGGGUUGUAAAGCACUUUCAGUGAGGAAGAACGCCUGGUGGUUAAUACCCAUCAGGAAAGACAUCACUCACAGAAGAAGCACCGGCUAACUCCGUGCCAGCAGCCGCGGUAAUACGGAGGGUGCGAGCGUUAAUCGGAAUUACUGGGCGUAAAGCGCGCGUAGGUGGCUUGAUAAGCCGGUUGUGAAAGCCCCGGGCUCAACCUGGGAACGGCAUCCGGAACUGUCAAGCUAGAGUGCAGGAGAGGAAGGUAGAAUUCCCGGUGUAGCGGUGAAAUGCGUAGAGAUCGGGAGGAAUACCAGUGGCGAAGGCGGCCUUCUGGACUGACACUGACACUGAGGUGCGAAAGCGUGGGUAGCAAACAGGAUUAGAUACCCUAGUAGUC